CCCAGACAGCCAGGAUGUUGGCUUAGAAGCAGCCAUCAUUUAAAGAAAGCGUAAUAGCUCACUGGUCGAGUCGGCCUGCGCGGAAGAUGUAACGGGGCUAAACCAUGCACCGAAGCUGCGGCAGCGAAGGUAUCACCCAAGACAACUUUACGGAGUUGACGAUUGACGGAGCGAAGCGACGUCAAAGCGUAUACAAAGUCGAGUUGGCUUAGGGAUACGUUCGUUGGGUAGGGGAGCGUUCUGUAAGCCUGUGAAGGUGGCCUGUGAGGGUUGCUGGAGGUAUCAGAAGUGCGAAUGCUGACAUAAGUAACGAUAAAGCGGGUGAAAAGCCCGCUCGCCGGAAGACCAA
Molecule: ribosomal RNA, 349 nt
Filed under: Salmonella enterica subsp. enterica serovar Weltevreden
Lineage: Bacteria; Pseudomonadati; Pseudomonadota; Gammaproteobacteria; Enterobacterales; Enterobacteriaceae
Description: partial 23S ribosomal RNA
Rfam family: Bacterial large subunit ribosomal RNA
Source: RNAcentral